GAUGAAGAACGCAGCGAAAUGCGAUAAGUAAUGUGAAUUGCAGAAUUCAGUGAAUCAUCGAAUCUUUGAACGCACAUUGCGCCCGCCAGUAUUCUGGCGGGCAUGCCUGUUCGAGCGUCAUUUCAACCAUCAAGCCCCCGGCUUGUGUUGGGGACCUGCGGCUGCCGCAGGCCCUGAAAACCAGUGGCGGCUCGCUGUCACACCGAGCGUAGUAGAUUUUCAUCUCGCUCAGGGCGUGCUGCGGGUUCCGGCCGUAAAAAGCCUUAUUUACCCAAGGUUGACCUCGGAUCAGGUAGGAAGACCCGCUGAACUUAAGCAUAUCAAUAAGCGGAGGA
Molecule: unclassified non-coding RNA, 335 nt
Filed under: soil metagenome
Description: partial contains 5.8S ribosomal RNA, internal transcribed spacer 2, and large subunit ribosomal RNA
Rfam family: 5.8S ribosomal RNA (bases 1-120)
Source: RNAcentral